UUUACGUAAAGUCGAAAAAUUUAAGUGUGUUGAAUUUUACUUAUUUCUUGCUUGCUUUCCAAGAGAAUCUUCAAUAAUCGGCGUCUUAAUGGAAAAGGUAGAAGGAAUCUAUUCGUUGAGGCUUUAAAUCUAAGUUUAUCGCGGGAUUUUUAACGACAUUCACCGGUUUCGUAAAGCGGUCGUUUGUUUUGGCGCAAUGCGGAAGUGUCGUCUUGAUGCAGUUUUUUGGCUAAAAAGUUGACGAAUUCUUCGUCUCACUACAUCUGUCAUUUGUUUUACGUUUGCCAUCAGUUUUAGGCAGUAACUGUUAGCUGUCGAGAGUACCGGAACAGACUGUGAAGUAUUUCUAUAGAUCUAAAUAUGGUUCGUAAAAAAGGACAGUUUGUCUGGCAUUCGGAAUUCCUACACUAGUGAUCCACGAGGACUUUAUCCAGUUUCCAGAAUGGCAGGAAGGAGGACUUAUUGAAUUAGACCACUUGUCAAGGCAGCUUACAAAAGUCAGAAAUUUAAAAGCAGCCACUGGGCGACAGUAAGCUUGUCUACAUUUUCCAUAAAAUUUCCAAAAUAAAUACUGGGAAAAAAACAUGGAAAUACAUACGACAUUGAUCAACACAAAAUAGCACAGCACCAGAAUGAAUGCGGAAGUUGUCACGAGUGGUGUGGCAUUGUUCCUGUUCAUUUAUGGUUUACAGAUUCCAAAAGUCUGAACCAGAUAUGAGUAGAGUACAGUUUGAGAAAUGUCUUGGUAGAACAGAUACUAAGGAAAUAAUAAAGAGCAGAACAGACCACAUUUCUCCUUCUUAUAACUGGUAAAGUUCCAAGUAAGGGCGAGUACAUAAUAAUAAUGCAGCCCCAGUGGGAGUUCGUGAUGAGGUGUCAAUGUGUGGUCGUUAAAUGAUGUGCAGUCAGAUUGACAAGUAUUUGAAGUAACAUUAAUUUAUAAAUUAUCAAUUCUGAGAGAACUUUUUGCUGAGCUUUGUGCAGGAUACUCUUAAAAAAUACGUGAUUACGGUGAACCAGAAUUUUAUAUUAUAAGUACAAUGUCAGAUGUACUUCAGACUUCACACAUAUGUUGAUGUUUAUACAUAUGUGGUGAUUAAUUUGUCAAGUGAAGAAAUUUUAUGAAUAAUGUUAGUGGGUGACAGAACAGAAGUACAAAGUCAAUUACAGAGGUCGACAACACUGAGUUUAGGAUACAGAAAAAAUCCGGUGAUUCUGACGAAACAACAUACAUAGAAAGAUUAUACUAGUAAAAUGAAAACUUUUAGUGUAUGGAAAAGUUUGGAAACAGGUUUACCAUUGACAGAAGAGACAGUAUUUACAGACUGGUCUACACUUAUUUUGAUUUGACUUUUACACGGUGAUUCCUCCAGUAAACAGCUAGUGAUCUGAGAAAAUUGUGUUCAUUAUAUCACACAGGUUUAGAGUGAAUGUAAAAUUAAUGUGUAUUUAAAUCAAUCAAAAUUUUUCAAAAUUGGAUGUUGAAACUUUACAACUGUUUAGUAUUUCAGUAAUCAGUUAGGAUUUUUGAGUGAUUUCAAUAAAGUACAAAUAAUAAAAAAAAGGAAUCACUAUCAGCCAAGAUGAUGUGCUAUUGUAAAAGAUAGAAAGAAAAUUCACAAGUCACAUUAAUUUGGUAAAAGGGAUUUUAACAGAAUUAAACUAUAAUUGGUGAAGGAUUCUGCAUGUUGUAUCAAAUAGCUAUAAUGUAUUUUGUAGUUCUUUGGAUGUGUCUUCUAUCUAUCUUUUUCAAACUAAAUUUUAUCUCUUAAAUCUAUUGAAAUUGCCAUCAAAAUAAAAAUUUCUUUUAAAAACAAUAUAUUUAACAAUUAAAAGGUAUAUUCAACAAGCCAGUGCUUUGUUACUAAUCUUAGUCAGUGGAAUUUAUUUUUAGACUUGUCCUAUUUUUUUGAUUCAGUUUCUGGAUCCCCAUUUAUUAGUUACUGUACACAUUUUGGGAUUCCAGCAAUUUUCCACAUCCUCAUUACAAGGUAGUAUUGAUUUUUCAUUGGUCCAGUGGUUAACUAAUUUUAGCAUAAAGUAAAACUGUUCUAUUAAUAGAUUUUCAGAAAAUCUGUUUGAGUUAUUUAUACCCAGUAUACAAAUUGAUGUACUUUUAUUUGAUUUGAACAUCCUGAACAAAUUACAGGUUUUCUUUGCUUUAUAUAAGAGAAUUUUGGUAAAUUUCAUUGUUGAAAGGACCAAGGUACUUUUCUCAAAUAGUCAAUUAAUAGAAAUUUUCAAAUAUAAUAUCUUGUGCAGUGAAUUAAAAAGAAAUUUAUUUAUUUCAGUACUAGUCAGUUCUGAACUUGAAAGAUACUUUGAUAGGUUUUUGGUCUACUACACACUUUAUAUAUUUCUAUGGCCUGAUUAGAAGUAGCCUGUUGGCUUAAUUCAGUAACUUAUUAUAGGAAGAAUUAUUUAAGGUAGCUCAACACAACUUCUGCACAUAAUCUAAGGUGAUUUAUUAUCAUAUAUGAUAUAAGAUAAUUUUCAUUGAGAGUCCUACAUACCAGAACAUUUUUGAGUGACACUAAGAAAUAUUUUAGAUUACUUGGGGUGGUUCACUACCUGUUAGAAAUAUUUAAGGUGAUUAACCAUUUGUUAGAAAAUGAUAAUACGGUACGGUACUGGGACUUGUUUUUGUAGGCAAUUAUCACAACAUGAAAUUUUAUAGGUGCUGAAUUGGAGGUCAUUUCCUCCAUGGUUAUUGUCGUGGUGUUUAUAACUCCCCCGCCACAAGGGGUGGGGGUUAUAGGAAUGGUCUCUGUCCAUCCUUCCCUACUUCCUUCCUUCCAUAAUAUUUUGUGUAUAUCCUAAACCCCUUGAACAUGUUGAAGGAUUUUCAUAAAUCUUGGUUCAAAUGAUCACCUCAUCAAGACAAUGUGCAGAACCCAUGAGUCACCCAUGUCGGUUCAAGGUCAAGGUCACAACUCAAAGCCUUCAAUUUUGUGUCUGCUCUGUAUCUCCUAAACCCCUUCAAGUGUGCUGUUAACAGACAGCUUUUGUGAUAAUUAUAUCAGGAGCACAUAAUUCCGGACAAGCUGGUCUAAUCAUACCCAAAAUUGAGUUAUUCCAAGAGCUUGUGCUCGUAUACAUUGCCAUUAAAUCUGAUCAAAAUUGUUAUGAAAAUGUUCAAACUAGAGCGUUAAAAUUGUCAAAUAUUGCAACUUUUUAUAUAACAGGGACAGAUAACUCUGGACUUGCUAGUCUGAAAAUGCCUGAAAUCUAGGUCUUGCAAGACCCUUUGGCCGUACACAUUGUCUAUUUUAGACAAUUUUCUAAGUUUAUUCGAGAUUUCUUUAAAUAAAAAUGAUACAGUUGUAAAAAAUUGGUAAAUAUUGCUAUUUUUUACUAUAUCAGGGGCACAUUACUCUUGAUAUACUGGUUGGAUCAUCCCCAUAUUGCAACACAUUCCAGAUUAUGUAGCCAUGCAUAUUGUUUUUAUACUUUGGUGAAGAUUGUUAUAGUAAUAUUCAUGCUGGAGUGUUAACAAUGCUAUAUAAUUCAUACUUAACUUUAAAAAAGUGGGUGGGGUAAUAUUACAUCUGUUUUUUUAUGAUGAAAUGUCGAUGUAAAUGGUUUGGAACUAUUUUGUUAUUUAAAAUUAUGUUUUGCACACAUGUUCAUAUUGUUAAGGCGUUUUUUUUUUUUUCAUGAAAAUAUUUGUUGUUAUAGCUUAUUUACCAGCAAACCCCAAUAUUCUAAAAUUUUGGUACUUUCAUGAUAAAAUACAGAAUAUCUCUCUUAUAUGUUCGGUGACCCCCAAUUUUUUUACCCUUAUUUUGAAGCAAUUUUGAGACACAAUAUAUACAAAGAGUAUUUCAAAAAUCUUAAUUGUAGAAAUAAUGUUAUGCUAUCUUUAGACUGAUACAAGUACUGGUCCCAUUGGAAAAAAGUGGGUGGGGUAAUUAUAUUGCCUUGUGAAAAUGAGUAACAGUAUUAUGUGAAAAUCAUUAAAAUUUCAUACUGACUUCAUAGCAUAUUCAAACUGAAUUGUUAGAAAUACAAUUAUUUUACAACUGAUAAA
This is a long non-coding RNA of Mercenaria mercenaria, 4030 nucleotides long. RefSeq lists it as uncharacterized. The transcript is spliced from 2 exons. The record is from RefSeq and is a predicted model, not a curated record. NCBI's taxonomy places the organism in Eukaryota, Metazoa, Mollusca, Bivalvia, Venerida, Veneridae.